AACGCUGGCGGCAUGCCUAAUACAUGCAAGUCGAACGAGCUUCCGUUGAAUGACGUGCUUGCACUGAUUUCAACAAUGAAGCGAGUGGCGAACUGGUGAGUAACACGUGGGAAAUCUGCCCAGAAGCAGGGGAUAACACUUGGAAACAGGUGCUAAUACCGUAUAACAACAAAAUCCGCAUGGAUUUUGUUUGAAAGGUGGCUUCGGCUAUCACUUCUGGAUGAUCCCGCGGCGUAUUAGUUAGUUGGUGAGGUAAAGGCCCACCAAGACGAUGAUACGUAGCCGACCUGAGAGGGUAAUCGGCCACAUUGGGACUGAGACACGGCCCAAACUCCUACGGGAGGCAGCAGUAGGGAAUCUUCCACAAUGGACGAAAGUCUGAUGGAGCAAUGCCGCGUGAGUGAAGAAGGGUUUCGGCUCGUAAAACUCUGUUGUUAAAGAAGAACACCUUUGAGAAUAACUGUUCAAGGGUUGACGGUAUUUAACCAGAAAGCCACGGCUAACUA
RNAcentral lists this ribosomal RNA (506 nucleotides) under Levilactobacillus brevis. Its description in RNAcentral is "bacterial SSU rRNA". It matches the Rfam family "Bacterial small subunit ribosomal RNA", at positions 32 to 503 of the family's 1533-position model. The record is from RNAcentral. Lineage: Bacteria; Bacillati; Bacillota; Bacilli; Lactobacillales; Lactobacillaceae.